CGCGUAUAGAACCUACCUUUUACUGAGGAAUAGCCUUUAGAAAUGAAGAUUAAUGCCUCAUAGUAUCUAAGUAUUGCAUAGUACUAAGAUUAAAGAUUUAUUGGUAAAAGAUGGCUAUGCGUUCUAUUAGCUAGAUGGUAAGGUAACGGCUUACCAUGGCAACGAUAGAUAGGGGUCCUGAGAGGGAGAUCCCCCACACUGGUACUGAGACACGGACCAGACUCCUACGGGAGGCAGCAGUGAGGAAUAUUGGGCAAUGGAGGCAACUCUGACCCAGCCAUGCCGCGUGCAGGAAGACGG
This 300-nucleotide ribosomal RNA is filed under the name uncultured Flavobacteriaceae bacterium. RNAcentral's name for it is "bacterial SSU rRNA". It matches the Rfam family "Bacterial small subunit ribosomal RNA", at positions 114 to 414 of the family's 1533-position model. Lineage: Bacteria; Pseudomonadati; Bacteroidota; Flavobacteriia; Flavobacteriales; Flavobacteriaceae. The record is from RNAcentral.